AUGAGGUGCAGGGAGCACGACUGCGAGGUCCCGGCGGAGGUGGCGCGGCACCACGAGCACGCGGAGCCGGGGUCCGGCCAGUGCUGCUCCGCGGUGGUGCAGCACGUGGCGGCGCCCGCGGCGGCGGUGUGGUCCGUGGUGCGCCGGUUCGACCAGCCGCAGGCGUACAAGCGGUUCGUCCGCAGCUGCGCCCUGGUGGCCGGUGACGGCGGCGUGGGCACGCUCCGCGAGGUGCACGUCGUGUCGGGCCUCCCCGCGGCGUCCAGCCGCGAGCGGCUCGAGAUCCUGGACGACGAGAGCCACGUGCUCAGCUUCCGCGUCGUCGGCGGGGAGCACCGGCUCAAGAACUACCUCUCCGUCACCACCGUGCACCCAUCCCCGGCCGCGCCGUCCAGCGCCACCGUCGUCGUGGAGUCGUACGUCGUGGACGUGCCCGCGGGCAACACGACCGAGGACACCCGCGUGUUCAUCGACACCAUCGUCAAGUGCAACCUCCAGUCGCUGGCCAAGACCGCCGAGAAGGUCGCCGCCGUGUCGUGA
RNAcentral lists this ribosomal RNA (540 nucleotides) under Triticum aestivum (bread wheat). RNAcentral describes it as "partial small subunit ribosomal RNA". The record is from RNAcentral. Lineage: Eukaryota; Viridiplantae; Streptophyta; Magnoliopsida; Poales; Poaceae.